GUCCUAGCCCUAAACUAUGGAUGCUUGGUGUAGCCGGUACCCAAUCCGGCUGUGCCGGAGCUAACGCGUUAAGCAUCCCGCCUGGUGAGUACGGUCGCAAGGCUGAAACUCAAGGGAAUUGACGGGGGCCCGCACAAGCGGUGGAGCAUGUGGUUCAAUUCGACGCAACGCGAAGAACCUUACCUGGGCUCGAAGCGCAGUGGAAUCCGGUGGAAACAUCGGCGCCCGCAAGGGUCGCUGCGGAGGUGCUGCAUGGCUGUCGU
This 263-nucleotide ribosomal RNA is filed under the name uncultured bacterium. Its description in RNAcentral is "partial 16S ribosomal RNA". It matches the Rfam family "Bacterial small subunit ribosomal RNA", at positions 793 to 1055 of the family's 1533-position model. The record is from RNAcentral.